CGUAGGGGCGAGCGUUGUCCGGAAUUACUGGGCGUAAAGGGUUCGCAGGCGGCAUGGCAAGUCCGAUGUAAAAGGCGAAGGCUUAACCUUCGUAAGCAUCGGAAACUGUCAAGCUUGAGUGAAGGAGAGGCAAGUGGAAUUCCUAGUGUAGCGGUGGAAUGCGUAGAUAUUAGGAGGAAUACCGGUGGCGAAGGCGACUUGCUGGGACUUCAACUGACGCUGAGGAACGAAAAGCGUGGGGUAGCAAAACAGGAUUU
Molecule: ribosomal RNA, 257 nt
Filed under: uncultured bacterium
Lineage: Bacteria
Description: partial 16S ribosomal RNA
Rfam family: Bacterial small subunit ribosomal RNA
Source: RNAcentral